AUUGAACGCUGGCGGCAGGCCUAACACAUGCCAGUCGAACGGUAACAGGAAGAAGCUUGCUUCUUUGCUGACGAGUGGCGGACGGGUGAGUAAUGUCUGGGAAACUGCCUGAUGGAGGGGGAUAACUACUGGAAACGGUAGCUAAUACCGCAUAACGUCGCAAGACCAAAGAGGGGGACCUUCGGGCCUCUUGCCAUCGGAUGUGCCCAGAUGGGAUUAGCUAGUAGGUGGGGUAACGGCUCACCUAGGCGACGAUCCCUAGCUGGUCUGAGAGGAUGACCAGCCACACUGGAACUGAGACACGGUCCAGACUCCUACGGGAGGAAGCAGUGGGGAAUAUUGCACAAUGGGCGCAAGCCUGAUGCAGCCAUGCCGCGUGUAUGAAGAAGGCCUUCGGGUUGUAAAGUACUUUCAGCGGGGAGGAAGGGAGUAAAGUUAAUACCUUUGCUCAUUGACGUUACCCGCAGAAGAAGCACCGGCUAACUCCGUG
This 490-nucleotide ribosomal RNA is filed under the name uncultured bacterium. Its description in RNAcentral is "partial 16S ribosomal RNA". It matches the Rfam family "Bacterial small subunit ribosomal RNA", at positions 30 to 507 of the family's 1533-position model. The record is from RNAcentral.